Molecule: ribosomal RNA, 449 nt
Filed under: uncultured bacterium
Lineage: Bacteria
Description: partial 16S ribosomal RNA
Rfam family: Bacterial small subunit ribosomal RNA
Source: RNAcentral
AACGUACGCUGGCGGCAUGCCUAACACAUGCAAGUCGAACGAGAUCUUCGGAGCUAGUGGCGCACGGGUGCGUAACGCGUGGGAAUCUGCGCUUGGGUUCGGAAUAACUCAGAGAAAUUUGAGCUAAUACAGGAUGAUGACGUAAGUCCAAAGAUUUAUCGCCCAAGGAUGAGCCCGCGUAGGAUUAGCUAGUUGGUGAGGUAAAGGCUCACCAAGGCGACGAUCCUUAGCUGGUCUGAGAGGAUGAUCAGCCACACUGGGACUGAGACACGGCCCAGACUCCUACGGGAGGCAGCAGUGGGGAAUAUUGGACAAUGGGCGAAAGCCUGAUCCAGCAAUGCCGCGUGAGUGAUGAAGGCCUUAGGGUUGUAAAGCUCUUUUACCCGGGAUGAUAAUGACAGUACCGGGAGAAUAAGCUCCGGCUAACUCCGUGCCAGCAGCCGCCGUAA